UUUAUUGAGGAUUUGAUCCUGGUCCAGGAUGAACGCUGGCGGCGUGGAUAAGGCAUGCAAGUCGAGCGAAAUAUUUUUUGAAGAAGUUGCGAUUACAUCAAGACGACAGAUUAAAAUGUUUAGCGGCAAACGAGUUAGUAACGCCUUGGAAUGUACCCCCGAGACGGGGAUAACGAGCCGAAAGGUUCGCUAAUACCCGAUAGUCUCGAAAGAGUAAAGACGCAAGUCACUUGGGGAGCAGCCUAGGUCCUAUCAGCUAGUUGGCGGGGUAAAGGCCCACCAAGGCUAUGACGGGUAGGGGGUGUGAGAGCAUGACCCCCAACGAUGGAACUGAGAACGGUCCAUACACCUACGGGUGGCCGCAGUCGAGAAUAUUCGACAAUGGGCGAAAGCCUGAUCGAGCGACGCCGCGUGCAGGAAGAAGGGCUUCGGUCUGUAAACUGCUUUUCCGAGGGAGGAACGCAAGUGACUGUACCUCGGGAAUAAGAAGCUGCAAACUUCGUGCCAGCAGCCGCGGUAAUACGAAGGCUUCAAGCGUUAUCCGGAUUUAUUGGGCGUAAAGGGCCUCCAGGUGGUUUUGUUAGUCGGGCGUUAAAUC
RNAcentral lists this non-coding RNA (598 nucleotides) under Candidatus Sungbacteria bacterium RIFCSPHIGHO2_01_FULL_50_25. RNAcentral's name for it is "bacterial SSU rRNA". It matches the Rfam family "Bacterial small subunit ribosomal RNA", at positions 1 to 601 of the family's 1533-position model. The record is from RNAcentral. Lineage: Bacteria; Candidatus Sungiibacteriota.